CCGCCGCCGCACAAAAGCUAUCGACAUUCCCGAUUGGACAAAAAUUCAGCCGGGUUCCGUGACUCAGAACUGGAAGCACUUUACGAGAGACGGGGGCCACGGCGUCACGUUUCGCGAAUACGGAGCAAUAAAUUACGCGGUAUCGGUAAUCGGCGUAGAGCGCGCGCGUGCAAACUUUGUACGCGCGCUGCGCAGCUCGAUCGCCUUUAUUUCCCAUGUCCACGUGUACAACAUCGCGCCAGCACGCGGUUGCUCACAACUUUGUUACGAUCACUCUGUUUGGCUCGGUGGUCCAAGCCAACCCGCAUAAACGAUGCAUAUAACGACGCAACUCGAUCUCGAAAUCGAGAGUCAAUCCGGUUUCAGAUGUAAGAAACAAAACAGAGAAAAUGUUUUCUAAAACACAUAACAAGUGAUUAAAAAUUGCGGAUGUCAAGUUUACAAACACAUGAACUGGUCCAGGGAACAAUGGAUCGGUUUGGAGGCGGGAGGAGAAAAGCAAGCAGCGAACAGCGCAUAUUCUCUUUUCAAUCCAGAGAGAGAGAGAGAGAGAGAGAGAGAGAGAGAGAGAGAGAGAGAAAGAGUCACGGUCUCCGUGGCACUAGAGAAAACCUAACAUCAUCGCGCAGCGUAGUGUUCGGAAAGGCCUAUCAAUGAGGGGCGUUUUACAAUGUAACGGCGCGCGAUAUGCAGCCGCAGACAAUUACCUGGGCCAGGCCUUCGUUAACUACCUGGCGACGUUGGUCGGUUGCUGCGCUGUUCUGACGGAACCGUAAGUUAUAUCGGCGUUGCAACGUGGUAGGCUAAUGAGUCUACCUGCCGUAAUUUUAAUUAGAUCGACACCCGCUGCGAUUGCGAUUCGCGCACGUCGCGUGCUUGUCACUGCGAAAGAAAGGUGAAAUCCAGAUCUCGAAAUAAUUGCAUAGAUGUUUACUUUGAUUAAUGCUACAUGCAACUUAUUAACCUAUUUGGUAACACAAAUCUUGAAUCUAAUGAGUUGCUCUUGUCAUUUGCAGAAAAGAUUUACGAGCUGAAUUGUGUAUUAAAUUAAUAUUGACAUGUUUAUUUUAAAUAUCUGAAUUGUAAUUAUUGAAGUUUUUGUGACUCAAAUGACAUACAUUUUACAAAGCUGUUUGAUUGUGUGAGAAAGAUGCAGGUUUUUGCGCGAAAAGAACGUAUAUGUAAGUCGCGAAGUAAAUCAGCAACUCAAUUAACGAGUUCGAAGCGGCAAAUUUGAUGCCCGAUAUGAUCUCAAUUUCAUCGAGAUGCAUUUUUUGUUUCUACCAUCGCGCCGGUGGUUUUAAUCGCCGUGUUUUCCAAUAUAGAAUAUUUUUCACGGACGUAAUAAUCUUUAUAACACGCGCGCAAAGAGCAAUAACUUGCAUAGUCUAGUUUCUCGUAGUAAAAUGUAAAAACCGAAAAAUGAAAUCGAUUUCGUAUGGCGGUCGCAACUGAGCGAAAUCACAACUAAUCGAUCUCGAGCGAGAUUGAUUUCACCUAUAACACCGCGGUACGGUAAUUAUUCAGAGAUAAUAAGGCUCAUAAUACGGUUCUGCACAUUGGACAGUAAUUAAAUGUCUGCUCGACUGUGUUUUGCACAGCGUAUUGCGUAUUCUGAUCUAGAAAUCAAGAUCUUGCAAACGCUCGGAAUCUUAUCACAUAUAUAAAUAAGUAUCCGUGCGGACAGAAACAAUAAUUACACAUGAUAAGCAUCUAUUUUUAUUAUCUUGUUUAUACGUUCUUCUUAUGCAAUAUGAAAUUUGCAUUUAUACACGAAAUUAAAUUGCUUUAAUGAGUUUAGUUCUUUGUAAAGAAACGGAAACAAAUGCAAAUUUUGAUUAUAAAUUUGACGAUAAAAAUAUGUUUAAUUAUGUAAUAACAAAUAGAUAAUAUUA
Molecule: long non-coding RNA, 1895 nt
Organism: Pseudomyrmex gracilis
Lineage: Eukaryota; Metazoa; Arthropoda; Insecta; Hymenoptera; Formicidae
Exons: 3
Source: RefSeq, a predicted model, not a curated record